This is a long non-coding RNA of Dermochelys coriacea (leatherback sea turtle), 1369 nucleotides long. RefSeq lists it as uncharacterized. The record is from RefSeq and is a predicted model, not a curated record. Lineage: Eukaryota; Metazoa; Chordata; Testudines; Dermochelyidae. The transcript is spliced from 3 exons.
UAGGGGUUAGGUAAAACCUUCUUGAAGCUGAUGGACGUGAUCAUGCCCUGCCUUCAGGGCAAAUGUAGGAAGUUUCAGGGACCAGGAUGUGGGUGAUCUGACCUUCUGGGUAGAGCCCAGAACAGGAACCAGGAGACAAGCCAGGGAUCAGAGCCGGAAGUAGAAGUCAAGCAGAAUUGAACAUGACAGGAAUGAGACAGUAGCAAGGUAGACCAAGAAGACAUCACAGCUGUAGGUAUAAGUAUUGAGCAGCUAGCCACCUGUCAUGGCUGCUGAGGUUAAAUGAAGACCUAUUGGCUCCUCGCAACCAAUUGGGUGGGCCAGCCAAUUAGGUGAUCCUGCCACAGCCCAUUUGGAUUCAUUAACUGGCCUGAGGCUGAGCAAACUAGCUCUUGACUCAUCUGAGAAAACUCAAGCCCCUACUUCCAGACAUGAAACAGUAGGAGCUACUCCCAAGUCAUAAGCAAUGCUGGCCACACAGACUGCUAUAUUUACACCUGAAAAAUGAAGCCUAAAACAGGAGGGUUGACUCAUAAUGGCUUUCCAUUGCUAGUGAGGAUUUGAUUGUCGUAUCAUCAGCAAGUUCACUGCAGAACAAUGUAAAGCUUUGAGCAACCCUCCUUUCGCUUACUGGUUUUAUAUGCUAGGAUAGGACCUGAGUUCAAUGGAUUUUACUCCUGACUUACACCCAUGUGAAAGCUUUAACACAGACCAGGAGAAAGAACAGUCUCUGCUCAGUUCCUGUCAUCUUUGGAUGUCUCGGCCUCAUUGACUGUACAUGAAAGUGAUCACCCAGGGCAAAGUUCUCAAAUCUUGUCCAGCAGCCUGUACCAAAUUUAAAUAUUAACCAUAGCACCCUGCCCAAAGUGCUAAUGGGCAUAUCGAAUAAAGUAAAUCUGUAAAUUCAAGACCAAGAUGGCUUGGAAAAGCACCUUCCAAAAAAUGUGAUCAAUAGUAUAAAAAUGAAAUUUUGAUUUUUCAUAUUUGUAUAUUUUAUUAACAACUUGGUAUAUUGUCCUCAGACUCCCCACAACAAAGUCUUUGGCAGUGGACUACACAUGAUACAUUUCAGAUGCCUGAUUAGUUGUGGUCAUUUUAAGAUCUAACAUUCUUGAGUUAUUUUGGGAAGUGGCUCCGGUCCUUGUGGUAUUUCAGCUUUAUAGGUUUGCUUAUGUAUUGGAUUUUGUGUUUGUUUGAAUGGCUCUUUAAUUAAAACUAGACAAAAGCAAAAUUCCUGUCUGCGAUUACAUUGUAAUCCCAGAACAGACACAAGAACAAUCAGCCUACUUUUGUCCUUAUUUAGAAAUAGGAAGGCAUUUGUUUUUGAGUAAACAACGAUAUUACGCAUUCCAAUUUCAAAACUCUGAGC